Molecule: long non-coding RNA, 408 nt
Organism: Syzygium oleosum
Lineage: Eukaryota; Viridiplantae; Streptophyta; Magnoliopsida; Myrtales; Myrtaceae
Exons: 2
Source: RefSeq, a predicted model, not a curated record
GAAGAGUUAUACUAGAGACACCAUCUCUAUCCAAGCAGUGAUUGCAUUCGACAUAAACCGGCGAACCGAUUUAAGCACUCAACAUCUAUCUAUGACAAUCAGUUUGUGAACUAUCUAUCAAUAGUGUAAAACCACUGGCAUCGCUACCAUGAGACAAAACAGAGCACUGCAUCAAGUCAAUCUCUUCCCAUAAAAUAACCAGAGAAAAGUUCACAAUCCCAUAAUACUUUCACCUAAAAGUAGUGCAAGUACUAAGAUCAUGGCGUUGAUUACAAAAUGAUGUUAUAACAAAGCACUGUCUACAUAAGAGUUCACAGUCUCCAAGUACAGAGAAGCCAUCUUCAUGAAUGGAGCUCAUCACUGCGGUGGUUGCCCCUCACCAGACUCCCGUUUCGAAGAUUCCUUGAU